This is a long non-coding RNA of Taeniopygia guttata (zebra finch), 6314 nucleotides long. The record is from Ensembl. NCBI's taxonomy places the organism in Eukaryota, Metazoa, Chordata, Aves, Passeriformes, Estrildidae.
GGAAAAUGGGAUGGCUGCCAGAACAUCAGUCGGUGAUGGGUGCCAUAUUGCAUUACUCUUCGAAUGGUGGAAUAGAGCUUGGGAUUCCUCUGGGCUGCUUGACAUGAUUCAAACUGGACCAUACAGAUGCCUAACAUCUUAGCUGUUUGGAUUCAUAGUAAUGGUUAAUGGUCUCCUGGGGGAAGUGGAAAAGCCCCAUGCUGAAACUUGUGGAUAUUACGGAACAUGCUGCUGAGACCUAUUUGGAUUAUACUGCCAUGUGACACCAAGGUUCUGCAUCUGAUGAGAGGAGUUCACCAGAUCUUUUUAUGUGGUUGCUGAAGCAUUGCCCUGGGACAGCAGUAAUGAUGGAUGGACGAACAGAACACACUUCAGGCUUGAGUCACAGAGAAACAUGAGGAUUUGCACUUCUGAAAUAAGUGUGAAUGGGAUUGAAAGAACUAAAUGGAGGAUUCUGAACUCCCCUUCUUCCUGCUCCGGGAAAGAUGGAGGCCUGCUCUGAGACCGCCUUUGGUUAUGAUCCACAUGUGCUACUGAAGCUGGCUGGAAUGGUGUGACAAAUGCAUAAAGCUGUGCCAUUCGGAAGAAGCAAGACAGUCUUUCCUCACAGCUACGAUGCUGCACCGCUUCCGACAGAACCUGCUUUUCCCUCCAUUUACCUGGGCGACUGCUGCUCUUUCUGCUGCUGCUGGGGCUGCUGCAGUCUUGCUGCCUGCGCUUCACCCUGGCUUGGCUGACUCGAAACUCUUUCGUCUGCACAUUGCUAAGGAAGAAGAGCGAUGGAGCCACGGAUAUUUUUUUUAUUGGUUCUGGAAGCCAAGGGUUGCAAUAUGUGAUGAUUUCGGGGUUUUCUGUGGCGGGGUGGAGGGAGGAGAAAGGAAGGGUAUUAAUCUAGGAUAGGGUGGGUGAAAGCUUAAAGAAAUAUUAUGUAAAGUAAUCCAGUGCUUGACAAGGGCAUCAGCAACAAGAAUCCAGCCUCUGCUGCUCCAGAGGAUUAAUAUGGGGAAGUCACAGUGCUGCAGUCGGGUUUCACCUCAGUGCUGUACUGGAGAUGGAUAAAUAAGGUAUUGGUUGCAUCUGCCUGUUAAGGCAAAGCCAAGGGAGAAGGAGAGAGCGAGUGAAUGCAAAUGCAAAGGAAGAAGAAACGCUCUGUGCCGUUUGUCUGAUUCUGCGGAUUCUCACUGCAGAGAGGAUGGCUUGAUUAACAAAGCAAUGUAUGGACCGAGGGACUGUAAAUUGUAGCUUGAGCAUUCCUGGUGCUGCCAGGGAGUGAACUGAUGAGUUAGGUAGCUGCAGGAAUAUCCCCAGGGUAAACAGCAGCCUCUCACUCUGUGUCUAUAUUUGUGUACGUAUGUGCUUUUGUGUGUGUGUGUGUGAACACGUACAGAAAUGAAAGAAAGACAUUUCUGACCAAUUUACAGGGGACGUUUGUCAGUUUGCUGGGUCAGACUUGAUUACAGCUUGUAUUUUCAGCUCUAGCUCUACACCCAUUUCCUGACUGAGGUGGCACUUUGUGAAAACAGAUGGUAGGCAGUAUUCUUUUAAGAAUUGUGAAAGCAGAUCCUUUCCGCUUAACACCUUGAAGCACUGAACCUUCUGCACUGUGCUGAGAGAAACCGUGGGGUUUCAUUUUCUCCAUCUUAAAAUCUCUAUAAACACAGCUGUAUUCAGUAUGGUGAAAAAUUCUAUACUGUAAAUAGAAAUGUGAUCAAUCUAAUCAAAAUAAAUGCAUCCCAGAUGACUUCUAGACCAGCUGGCUACCACAGUCAUCAGAUGGCUAAAUCCUCAACUGAGCAUUUGUAUUCAGUGUUAUACUUGCAUCUUUUUAUUUUUCUCUUUUUUUUUUUCUUAGAUUUUCAAAAUCAGCCUCUAAUUUAAAAGGAUUCUUCAUAUAUUUAGAAAAGGCAAUGCUUUCUGUGAAAUGUACCUGGGUGUAUUUUUUACUUUGGAAUCUGCUUGGGGCGAUUUUAGAGUAGGUAGACUUGUCACAGUACAGGCAUAUUUCAUUUGGUAGGUAGCUCAGCCUGGCCAUAUCUGAACAAUGCAGAAACAGGGAAAACAACCACUGCAUACAGCUAGCAGGGCUUGGCAUGGAUUUUAGCAGCUGCCUAUCAAGAAAGACAAGUUUUUUUUCUUUCCGUUUUUCCCUUUUAUACAAAGCCAUAGACCAUAAUGUCAUACUAAAAUGUGUAUGAGGGGAUUUCCCAAUAGUCAUGGUGAGCUAGCCUGCAGGACUCCCGUCUAGUCCUUCCACUAUUUUUUCCCCAGCUUACAAAGGCAGCCCUGUAUGUUGAAUUGUAUUUAGCCAGCUGUUGGAUAGCAUUCUUGUGCUGGGGGCUAAGGAGUCUUAUUACUCCCAAACUGUAGUUUUCUGUUUGCUUAAAGAAAAUUGGCAAUACAGCAGGCUCUGCAAAUAAGUUUAUGCCACUCCUAUACCUUUCUGAAUCUGUUGUGUGCUUCUAAGUCAAGCAGUUUAAAGCAAGCAAGGAGGGAGGAGGAGAGACUCUGAACUUGCAGCUUCAAAGCUACAGAGACAAGCAAAAUGUCAGCAGCUUGUAAUUAGGAGCCCACGGUUACGUCAGUGACUGUAUCUCUCCAGGAAUUGCUAUGAGAUGUGUGCCACAAAGCAAAGGAAGACUCUCAUAACCUGGUUAACAAGCCUGGCUCAAACAAGAAAGAGCAAAAUGGAUUAAUGAAUCUGCUGUGUUCCUAAUUCAGAUGUGGAUGGAUUACACGCACAAGGUUUGCUGAAUUCUGCAGCAGCGAAGACUGAAUUAUAGCAUGCAUUCACCAAAAGUGCAAAUCCUUCAGGAAAAAAAUGCAGAUGAGCAGUCUAUCCUUGAAAAUUUCUUUCCUAGCUCUGUCCUGUACAGGCAGCUGCAUGACAUGGAGGCACGCUCUGAAGGAAGAGACUGGCGAGCUGCACAAAGAUGUUUAAAAGGAAGGUGCAAUUAGACACAAAGCAAGCCUGCUGAAAUUCUGUUCUGGCAUUACAGAUUUGAUACUGAAAUACCACCACAGAGGAGACCGGCUGGGCUCUGGUGUGGUUUAUAUUAAGGCUUCUCGGUUAAGAGCGAGGGGGAAGGGACAGGGCUUCCUGCAGCAUCUUGCAGCCAUACAGAAGUCCCCAGGGCUGUGGGAAGCAGGAGGGAUGGGUGUGCUCUUAAAGACACAUGCCCAGAUCCUGCCAAGGGGCUUUCUGACCUCUGCAAUUAUUUUUAGGUCCAUGAAGGCAACUCGGCAGUGCUUUAGCAGUGAGAUUGCAGGGGGUGUUUAAUCUGCUGCGACUGGCCUUUCUCUGUGUCAUGGCUGGGAAAGGCUUAUAGAGCUUUUAUCAAUACCCCUCCACCCCUCCACCACAUCCAGCACGCAUGUCUGUCGCUGUUCCUAAAGACCAGUUACUGGAGUUCUGGUGUGUUUUCCUGCUCCCAGCAGAAGUCACUUGCAGUUCAGCUCUGUUGUAGUUGCUUUUUAAUUUACCAGAUAGGUAGAUUGUAUUUUACAAACAGUGGGGGUGGGUGGUUUUUGGUUUGGUUUUGGUUUGUUUUGGUUUUUUUGGUUUUUUUUGGACUGUGAACACAAAUUUGUAGGAUGAGGUGACUCUGUAUAUUAAACCAAUAGCUCUUUGAAUUGUGUGUAGUAUAAUCUAAAUAUACUUACUUUAAUUAAUAGAAGGUUACAAAAGCUGGCAUUGUCUGGGGCUGUUUAAUUUACAUCUUAGGUUUAGUCAAUGAGCACAACCUGCCUGAUUAGAACAGUGUAUUCUGCACAGCCAACAGGGUGGAAGGCAUUAUUUUGUUUGUGUUAGUUCAAACAGCUGGUCAUUAAUGCAGGCCCCAUCUCCAGAGUGAAGUGCUAGUGGACAUGAAUGGCUGCCUGAUUAAUGCUGCCCCUCGACGGGUCCUUCAUCCAGCAGCAAUGCUCGCAGCAGAAUAAUGCAGCGGGAUUUGAUUGCGCUCUAACAGGGUAGUAUGUCAUUGUGUCACCAAGCGAUCGAGGUUAUUAUGGGGUAGGGCAGACAGACGGGACAGUGGGGUUACUAGACCGUGGCAUUUUUAGAAAUGCAGGGCUGACCUACUUAGAGUUAUUCUUGCUGGCUGGCAGCUGCCUGGUGCGGGGCUCCCCCGGAUAGGCUGCGGCUGUUGCUAGGGGGAAUUAGCAUGAAUUUUUCCACAUACAGACUCAGUGAUUGAAUGAUAAAAGCUGACUGGAAUUAAAGAGAUUCGGUUCAGUAUUAUGCAGAUUUAUCUCCCUCAUUUUUUUUUCUCUCUGUCAAAUGCAUAAAAAGGAGCAGAAAACAGUUUGUUUCCAUUUAUUUUUGACCUAUUUUUUUUUUUUCCAGAGGAGGGCAGAAGUGUUGUGAGGUGAUAAUUUAAUAUUUAGGCCGUUGAAAUGAUAUGAUAGUGAGCAUGCAUCUUUAAUGUAUGGAAGAUUAAAAUGCUGCCUCUCUGGAAGGGAAUGAAAUGAAUAUAUUUUGUGUUCUCGUCAAGCUGCCACCUCUUUUUAUUUCAAGCCAUGUCAGAUUCUUUUAUCUGGAAAGGGGAAACAUAUACCAUGUUUUAUUGCAUAGCAUUACUCUUAGCUAUUUUUAGCUAUCUGUCCUUCAAAAAAUUAGUCUUAUUUAUACUAGUGGAUGAAAUUAAUCCCCAGGCUAUGCCUUAUGUAUGUGGAGACAGAUGCCCAGGGUAGCUGCAGUGUUGUGUGUCAUGUUCAUCUGAAAAGGUGUUUACACACUGCAGGCUUAUCAGCACUGCAUACCUAGCAGAGUGCAGAUGCCUGACAUGUAAUCAGAUCAAUUAGAGAACUCUCCUGGAUUAUGGAGUAUUUUUCAGGCCAUGGUUUGAAGUUGGAAUCUCUAGAUGGCCUUCUUUUAUUUAUCUACAUCUGCCUAAAACAGUGUUAUCUUUUCAGAGAACACUGUGCUCCCUUAGGAGGCAAAUAAUAACAAUACUUAGUGAAGAAUCCUUUGAUGUAAUCAUGAAUAUUUCCUUUGUUAUUAUCACUAGUUAUAGAAGAACUUUGUUUAAACCGCUAUUUCCCCUUGUGUGAUCUUUUGCCAUUCAAAGAAAUACCAAUUUAGUACUUAUAAUUUUAAGUUAAAUAUUCAUGGCAAUGCAUCAUGACAUCACACUCAAAGAAGUGGGAAUUUUCAAAAUAUGAGACAUUGGGGGAUGGGAGAGAAGGACCCACAUGCCUUUGGAAAUGCAAAAUAAAAAAUGGGACUUAGUGCUGAAAAGUAGUGAACUAAUUUUUGUCUGAAACAGUUUAAUUUCAAAUAUUUGGAUGGAUGAGGUACCUUUUAGAGGUUUGUGAACAACGUGCAUAUCUGAGGUACCUUUUAGAGGAGUGUGAGCUGCCUGUGCAUCUCUCUGGACAACUAGCUGCUUCCUUGGACCUAGAGCUGUCCUGCCUUGGCCCCUGGAAUUUAUUGGGAAGAUAUUAAAAAAAUGGAGACAUGAAUUUGAAUACAUUUUGUGGCUGAGGCAAAGCAUUCAGUUCCUACAGAGUUGAAUUUCCUAUGUUUUUUUUUUCCUGGCAUUGAUUCAUUACUGAAACCUGCACCACUUCCUUCUCUGCUUCUUCCUGACAGUCUCAUGGAGUGACAUAAUUUUAGAGAAGUGAAAGUGAGGAGUGGCACAGUUUGAUGCCCAGUAAUUGUGUUUGCCUUGUCUGUCCUCGGAGGUUACUCCAGAAAGUUGUGGUCCCACUUCCCUCAGCAAUAUUGUCUUGAUCAAAAUCUGAUGUCCUGCUCCACUUCUGUAGGAUGCUGCAGGAUGCCAGGCAACAGCCCUUGUAGACAGCUUUUGUCUACAGUUGUGUCUUGAGGUUUUUGCCCUUGUUGGUUGUAGCCAGUUGUAGUUUCAUCCAGUUCACCUGCGAUAUUAGCUGACUUGGGCUUCAGCAAAUCAAAAUAAACAUUCAAUACUGUACUAAUGCAGUACCUCAUUUUCUAGAAGAAAGAAUUUGAGUGUUUGCUAUAUUUGUGCAAAAAAAGAGGGAGUUCAAAGAAAAGCAACAAACAAGAUACAGCAUAUACUCUUGGAAAAGAGCUGCAUCCUUGCUGUUUAUCUGGAUUUCAACACACUGAUUGUUUAUAACAAACAUCAAAUCAGAAAGUUUAACAAACCAUCAAGUGACAUAUUAAAUAUAAAAAAUAUAAUGCGCUAGGAAUUGUAUUAAAUGUAAAGUUGCCCUGCUGGAAAUCUCUUCAAUGAAAAUUUUUUCCAAACAAUUGAGUAUGUGAAUGAUGUGAUCAUAAUACUUUGGAUAAUUAUGAGUAGCAGAAAUACAGAGUUAAUGGCACAAACUAAAAA